GCGAACUGAUUAGAAGCUUGCUUCUAUGACGUUAGCGGCGGACGGGUGAGUAACACGUGGGCAACCUGCCUGUAAGACUGGGAUAACUUCGGGAAACCGAAGCUAAUACCGGAUAGGAUCUUCUCCUUCAUGGGAGAUGAUUGAAAGAUGGUUUCGGCUAUCACUUACAGAUGGGCCCGCGGUGCAUUAGCUAGUUGGUGAGGUAACGGCUCACCAAGGCAACGAUGCAUAGCCGACCUGAGAGGGUGAUCGGCCACACUGGGACUGAGACACGGCCCAGACUCCUACGGGAGGCAGCAGUAGGGAAUCUUCCGCAAUGGACGAAAGUCUGACGGAGCAACGCCGCGUGAGUGAUGAAGGCUUUCGGGUCGUAAAACUCUGUUGUUAGGGAAGAACAAGUACRAGAGUAACUGCUYGUACCUUGACGGUACCUAACCAGAAAGCCACGGCUAACUACGUGCCAGCAGCCGCGGUAAUACGUAGGUGGCAAGCGUUAUCCGGAAUUAUUGGGCGUAAAGCGCGCGCAGGCGGUUUCUUAAGUCUGAUGUGAAAGCCCACGGCUCAACCGUGGAGGGUCAUUGGAAACUGGGGAACUUGAGUGCAGAAGAGAAAAGCGGAAUUCCACGUGUAGCGGUGAAAUGCGUAGAGAUGUGGAGGAACACCAGUGGCGAA
Molecule: ribosomal RNA, 672 nt
Filed under: Priestia megaterium
Lineage: Bacteria; Bacillati; Bacillota; Bacilli; Caryophanales; Bacillaceae
Description: bacterial SSU rRNA
Rfam family: Bacterial small subunit ribosomal RNA
Source: RNAcentral